UGAAGCUCAAAUCUGUUUAAAGUAUGCUUCGUGGGCUUUGAUACACCGAUAAUCUUAUAUUUUACUGUGCAGGAAAACGUGGUGGCAGUAAGAGAUUUCUACUUUCUAGUCACUGGGUGGCAAUAAAAUCAAAGUGAAGAAUUUAUCUCCUAGGAGUGGAACCAAGCACAGCCAAUUUCCUUCCCCUCUUCAGCUUGGUACCCCACGGUUCCUCAAAACUAGGUUCUGGGCCCACAUGUUUCAAAUCGUUGCGCUAACGUGAGUGAGAAUUCAUAUCCUAUAGAAGCUAAGUGUAUUAAGUAGUAAACCAGAAGGUUUUAAUUUUAAACAGUGAGUCAAAUUGAAAUGGGAAUUUUAUGACACAUUAUAUGCUUGACAGAUGAAGCAUAUUUGUGUAAGCAACAUAACUAUGGAGUAUUGUAUAGAGAGAGUAAUAUUAAUGAAAUUAAAUAUUCAUGUCUGGUUUUGUCCACAAGACAAGGAAAACAUGAUAUUUAUUGACCACAGAUAAUUCUUCACCUUUAUCAAUCCUCAUAUUCAAAAUGUCUGAAACUGCUAUUUCUUUUGAAAGUUCGGUUCCAUGUGGAAUAAAAACACAUGUGGCACCAUUUCUGUCAUCAGGAAAUCUCAGUCCUCCCAGAAUUAAAUUAAAACAUAAUCGGAUGAUGAAAUAGAACUGAGCCCCCUUUGAAAGGAGUUGGAAACCAGAGAAGAAUCUCCUAGAGGAGGAGUCCACUCUUCUGCAACCUCCUUUUUGCUGAUCAUGACUUGGACUGUUGUACGAGAUGUUGAAUUCAGUUUCUCCCAUUGAUUGGUUCAACCUCUCAGCUGCUGCUGUGGGUCUGAGCCACGGCCAGGUUGGAGUGGUUCUGUGAGUUGGGAGGAUCUCUCAGCCUAGACUGGCAAUUGCAGGCAGAAAUAGAAUGGGACCCACCCAUGUCAACUACACAUUGUCUAGUAGCUCUAUGGUAAAAAGAAACAAGUCAAAAAUCAAAUCAUUGUAAUGGGCAAAAUGGUACCACUUCAACGUGUAUUUGAUUUCAAAAAUACAUUGUUUUUAAAACCUCAACAAGAAAGUUUCUUCUUCUUCUUCUUCUUCUUCU
Molecule: long non-coding RNA, 1103 nt
Organism: Neofelis nebulosa (Clouded leopard)
Lineage: Eukaryota; Metazoa; Chordata; Mammalia; Carnivora; Felidae
Exons: 3
Source: RefSeq, a predicted model, not a curated record